AGAGUUUGAUUCUGGCUCAGAACGAACGCUGGCGGCGUGGUUGAUACAUGCAAGUCGAACGGGAAAGAGAGCUUC
Molecule: ribosomal RNA, 75 nt
Filed under: uncultured Verrucomicrobiota bacterium
Lineage: Bacteria; Pseudomonadati; Verrucomicrobiota
Description: uncultured Verrucomicrobia bacterium partial 16S ribosomal RNA
Source: RNAcentral